Molecule: long non-coding RNA, 764 nt
Organism: Haliotis rubra (blacklip abalone)
Lineage: Eukaryota; Metazoa; Mollusca; Gastropoda; Lepetellida; Haliotidae
Exons: 3
Source: RefSeq, a predicted model, not a curated record
CAUCAGAAUUGAAGUCACCUUGCUCAUGCCAAAGAACCUUCUGGGCAAGUGACCUCGAUGGGAACAAUGCCUGCCAUCCGCUGGAGACGUACAUCAAAUGCCUGACCGACGCAGGAGAAGAAGACACUUGUUUGGCUGGAGUCAAAGCAUCUGCACUGGUUGUGUACCCCACGGCGAGACUUCAAUCCCUAACAUGUAAUGCUGGAGUUUCCACUCUGCGGAAGUGCAGUGCGAUCGCUUUUCUCCUUCCCCUCAUCCUGGUGGCCUUUCUCCCUGUUUAAACCAGCCGUCAAACAUGUAUGCAGUUGUUUGUAACUGUUAAUUAUUUUUUUAUCAUUAAGUUUGUGUAUUCCAAGCAUUAACAUUCCUCUUAAGACUGUAGUUAUUCUGUUUAAUCUGGCAUUCUUUGAAAUAGAAUUAAAAUAUCAACGUUGUUAAUCUUUGGAAAAUUGUGUGCAGUGUUACAUGUAUUAAUUCAAACUAUUUUGUCAGUGAUUUGUGUCAUUGAAGAAAGAUACUGUUAACUGGCUAAGGGGUCACAAAAUCACUUUUAGAGUACAUACAAUUAGGCAAUACUGAUGACAUUUUCUGAUGACGUGGGACUCCGAACACUGACGUAUAGAAACUGCCAUCAACCCUUUGGUCACUUUGACAGUAUAUUCUACUGUUAAUUUGUCUGUACAUUCAGAAGAUGGAUAUUGCAUGGACUUACAUAUGCUAAACAUUUAACAAGAACUUCGUUCCUAAUAAACGAAUUACUCAGA